ACCAUGCGACGCGUAACAACCAACUCUGAUAGACGACUGUUAUUCAUUUUUGAAGCGAUCGUACUCAGUGCUACGUUCUUUUUUAUUAAGCGAACAGAUUAUGUGAUAAAUUAUUGUUAUUAUUAUUAAAAGUGUUUUGAAAUAUUAACGAACUAUUUACUGACGUUAUUUCUCUUUAAUAUUUAGUUUAAAUCGGUAAUAUAGCAAAAUGGAAUCAUGGAAAAAAAAUGUUUUGCGAUCAUCACCAAUGACAGGUCCAUCAACCGAAGCAAGGGUCUAUCAUCCAGCUACUAAUCUACAGCCACCAGAGCCACCAUUGUCACCGUUGCCACCAUCCAUUCCUAUGCCAGUAGGGACUCUGGAGGCUCCGAAAUUCGCUGGCAUGUUUGUAGCAAAGAAAAAAGAAAACGUCGUUCUGGACCCUAAGGAGAUAAAAACGAGAAUGGCGUAACAACUGCAUUAAAAUUGAAUGUUAAUUUUUUUUAAUACUAAUUAUCGUAAUUUUUGUCAACUCAGCAAUAUGUACUUACCUGUUACAUAGGAUAAUAAUGAUUAUGCUUUCUAUCACGGAAGUAUGGAAAGUGGACCCAGUAUGAUUUCGAGAAGUGAAGAUUUGACCGAAAAAAGCUUUUAAAACGCAUAAAAUUGAGUAAAAAUCUACCUAUAUAAAAAUCAUAACCCUUCCUUUCGGCUUUGCCGUAGUCGUGUAAAAA
Long non-coding RNA from Maniola jurtina (meadow brown), 713 nucleotides. RefSeq lists it as uncharacterized. The record is from RefSeq and is a predicted model, not a curated record. The transcript has 2 exons. NCBI's taxonomy places the organism in Eukaryota, Metazoa, Arthropoda, Insecta, Lepidoptera, Nymphalidae.